UGCUUCAUUGACUUUCCUAGUGGCUUCUUUGAGGUAGUGGUGGAGAAGAAAAAGGUUUGGUGCAGAGAUUACUGAUGAAGAGGUUGAGCUGCUACUUGACAGAAUCCCCCUUGAUGAAGAUGGAAAUGUCAGAUAUCCCCAGUUCAUGGUCAGGUUUGAGUCAUGAGCACCCUGAGAGCCCACAGUGUGAGACCACAGCUCAGCAGGCUCCCUGGCUAAUGUGUGUCACAGCUUUCAGUGGGCUGCAGAAGAAAAAGUCUGCACAUGCUCUUUGAAGAGAUACCUCGGUUCAGAGGGCUGUGGAUCCCAUUGAUCUGAGCCUGAAGAGGAGAAAGAUGCACAGAAACAGAGGGAAAAUAGGCAGAUCCAGAAAGUAUAGAUGGACAAUAUCCUGGGCAGGUAUAGAAAAACCCGUAUCAUACUCCUGCAGUACUACUUCUUAAAAUGUGGUAGGAAGGCACAGGACUUCAUCUGAAGUACUGCUUCCAGGCAUGCACAUGACAGUUUUAUGGCCACUAAUCUUGGUCCUGGCUGUUUUCAGGGAUGUUGUGCUUAUUAGCCUGGAAGAACACACAGUUAUGG
Molecule: long non-coding RNA, 582 nt
Organism: Calypte anna (Anna's hummingbird)
Lineage: Eukaryota; Metazoa; Chordata; Aves; Apodiformes; Trochilidae
Exons: 4
Source: RefSeq, a predicted model, not a curated record